Molecule: long non-coding RNA, 337 nt
Organism: Poecilia latipinna (sailfin molly)
Lineage: Eukaryota; Metazoa; Chordata; Actinopteri; Cyprinodontiformes; Poeciliidae
Exons: 3
Source: RefSeq, a predicted model, not a curated record
GCACCGUGAGACAGAAGAAUGUUCACCAUGUUCAUAUUUUCCAGUUCACAAGCUGUAAAGACAGAGAACUCAGCAUUUCACACACACACCCGCAUGUCGGGGUCGGCGCCUGACUCCAGAAGAGACUGGACGCAGGGCAGCUGUUCACAGGACACGGCCAGCAGCAACGCAGUCUGCUCCUGCAGCGUCCGCUUGUCCACUGAGCCUGGAUGGGCUGCAGCAGAAAGGAAAACAUCCACAAAGCAACUAGUCUCGAGGCACCCCGUCUGGCCAGAAUAGGCAGCAUCAUGCAGAGGAAGCCACCCGUCUUUGUUUUCCUUCAGCAGGCUGUGGGAGG